GGUAAUGUGGCUUAGUGGUAGAGUGGUUGCCUCACAUGCAACUGAGGCCCUGGGUUCAAUCCUCCAUACCU
RNAcentral lists this transfer RNA (71 nucleotides) under Dipodomys ordii (Ord's kangaroo rat). It matches the Rfam family "tRNA". From Rfam's summary of the family: Transfer RNA (tRNA) molecules are approximately 80 nucleotides in length. Their secondary structure includes four short double-helical elements and three loops (D, anti-codon, and T loops). The record is from Rfam by way of RNAcentral. Lineage: Eukaryota; Metazoa; Chordata; Mammalia; Rodentia; Heteromyidae.